CCAUCUAUGAGAGCUACAGAGCAGCUCACUUCCCAGGAGAUGAUCCAGUUUACCAGAGGCUUGGACGCCGAUUACUACUUGGGGGAGGGUGAUUAUGCGACAUUCAUUGAGACACACCUCAUGCCUCCCUUGACCGAUAUUCACGGAGGUGAGGGGAUAAGAGUUCCAGCUAUGAGAGAGAGAGUCGGAGUCCCCAAGGCGACCAGGGCGCGUGGUAGAGGGGCCACCCAGACGAGGCAGAGGACCGGCUAGCCAGAGUUGCCUACUGCACUCACAUGUUGGCGGUAUACUGGGGAGGCAUAUCAGAUCCCGAUUGAGCUUGCUGCAGCGGGACACAGAUACACUAGAGCCCAGGACGCACCUCCGGCUCCUCCUAGAUACAUCGAGGAUCUGCUAGAGCUAUUAGCCUCAUUCGAGGGCAUGAUAUUGAGGAGGGAGGCAUUGCUCGGCUUCCACGACAUUCAGGUUCCACUCUUAUCGACAGCAUCAACGGCACCAGCACCAGGACCAUCAGUACCUCCUCCGACAGCAGGGAGAGAGAGACAGGCUCCAGCACGCAGUCGAGACCGAGCUAGGAGCAAUGCUACUGAGCCAGGUUCUGAGGCACAGAGCAGCAGUGGCUCCGGUUCCGUUCAGCAUCCGGUUCAGACAGCGGCACAGAUGGAGACAACUCUGAGUCCUCGCCCAGGAAGAGGACCAAAAUGGCCUCUCGAGCUUGAGAUAGCUGGCGUUGAUCUAUUUGUAUUUUUGCGUAGUUUCUCUUAUUAGUAGUGUUAGCACUUUGUAUAGCUUCAGACGAGUUUUUUUAUUAUUUUGCUUUAAAAACUUGUACUGCACUUUUUGUAAAAACAACCAUGAUCGGAAUGAAAACCAAG
Non-coding RNA from Camellia sinensis, 875 nucleotides. Lineage: Eukaryota; Viridiplantae; Streptophyta; Magnoliopsida; Ericales; Theaceae. The record is from RefSeq and is a predicted model, not a curated record.